GAUGAAGAACGUAGCGAAAUGCGAUAAGUAAUGUGAAUUGCAGAAUUCAGUGAAUCAUCGAAUCUUUGAACGCACAUUGCGCCCGCCAGUAUUCUGGCGGGCAUGCCUGUUCGAGCGUCAUUUCAACCAUCAAGCCCCAGGCUUGUGUUGGGGACCUGCGGCUGCCGCAGGCCCUGAAAACCAGUGGCGGGCUCGCUGUCACACCGGGCGUAGUAGAUUUUAUCUCGCUCAGGGCGUGCUGCGGGUCCCGGCCGUUAAAAGCCUUUUUUUACCCAAGGUUGACCUCGGAUCAGGUAGGAAGACCCGCUGAACUUAAGCAUACAAUAAGCGGAGGA
RNAcentral lists this unclassified non-coding RNA (335 nucleotides) under soil metagenome. RNAcentral describes it as "partial contains 5.8S ribosomal RNA, internal transcribed spacer 2, and large subunit ribosomal RNA". The stretch from base 1 to 120 matches the Rfam family "5.8S ribosomal RNA", at positions 35 to 154 of the family's 154-position model. The record is from RNAcentral.